Molecule: ribosomal RNA, 478 nt
Filed under: uncultured bacterium
Lineage: Bacteria
Description: partial 16S ribosomal RNA
Rfam family: Bacterial small subunit ribosomal RNA
Source: RNAcentral
GACGAACGCUGGCGGCGUGCUUAACACAUGCAAGUCGAACGGUAAGGCCCUUCGGGGUACACGAGUGGCGAACGGGUGAGUAACACGUGGGUGGUCUGCCCUGCACUUCGGGAUAAGCCUGGGAAACUGGGUCUAAUACCGGAUAGGACUCCGGACUGCAUGGUCUGGGGUGGAAAGCUUUUGCGGUGUGGGAUGGGCCCGCGGCGUAUCAGCUUGUUGGUGGGGUGAUGGCUUACCAAGGCGACGACGGGUAGCCGGCCUGAGAGGGUGACCGGCCACACUGGGACUGAGAUACGGCCCAGACUCCUACGGGAGGCAGCAGUGGGGAAUAUUGCACAAUGGGCGCAAGCCUGAUGCAGCGACGCCGCGUGAGGGAUGACGGCCUUCGGGUUGUAAACCUCUUUCAGCACAGACGAAGCGCAAGUGACGGUAUGUGCAGAAGAAGGACCGGCCAACUACGUGCCAGCAGCCGCCGUAA